This 253-nucleotide ribosomal RNA is filed under the name uncultured bacterium. RNAcentral's name for it is "partial 16S ribosomal RNA". It matches the Rfam family "Bacterial small subunit ribosomal RNA", at positions 524 to 776 of the family's 1533-position model. The record is from RNAcentral.
UACGUAGGGACCGAGCGUUGUCCGGAUUCAUUGGGCGUAAAGAGCUCGUAGGCGGCUGUUCAAGUCGAACGUGAAAACUCGGAGCUCAACUCCGAGCCUGCGUUCGAUACUGGACGGCUAGAGUCUGGUAGGGGGAUCUGGAAUUCCUGGUGUAGCGGUGGAAUGCGCAGAUAUCAGGAGGAACACCGGUGGCGAAGGCGGCGACCUGGUCCGAUACUGACGCUGAGGCGCGAAAGCGUGGGGAGCAAACAGG